GCAAUGGUGGUUCGGUGGUAGAAUUCUUGCCUUCUAUGUGAGAGAGAGACCCAGGUUCGAUUCCCGGCCAAUGCA
RNAcentral lists this transfer RNA (75 nucleotides) under Loxodonta africana (African savanna elephant). It matches the Rfam family "tRNA". Rfam says of the family: Transfer RNA (tRNA) molecules are approximately 80 nucleotides in length. Their secondary structure includes four short double-helical elements and three loops (D, anti-codon, and T loops). The record is from Rfam by way of RNAcentral. Lineage: Eukaryota; Metazoa; Chordata; Mammalia; Proboscidea; Elephantidae.